GAUGAACGCUGGCGGCGUGCCUAAUACAUGCAAGUCGAGCGAUCGGACGAGAAGCUUGCUUCUCUGAUGUUAGCGGCGGACGGGUGAGUAACACGUGGAUAACCUACCUAUAAGACUGGGAUAACUUCGGGAAACCGUAGCUAAUACCGGAUAAUAUUUUGAACCGCAUGGUUCAAAAGUGAAAGACGGUCUUGCUGUCACUUAUAGAUGGAUCCGCGCUGCAUUAGCUAGUUGGUAAGGUAACGGCUUACCAAGGCAACGAUGCAUAGCCGGCCUGAGAGGGUGAUCGGCCACACUGGAACUGAGACACGGUCCAGACUCCUACGGGAGGCAGCAGUAGGGAAUCUUCCGCAAUGGGCGAAAGCCUGACGGAGCAACGCCGCGUGAGUGAUGAAGGUCUUCGGAUCGUAAAACUCUGUUAUUAGGGAAGAACAUAUGUGUAAGUAACUGUGCACAUCUUGACGGUACCUAAUCAGAAAGCCACGGCUAACUACGUG
Molecule: ribosomal RNA, 497 nt
Filed under: uncultured bacterium
Lineage: Bacteria
Description: partial 16S ribosomal RNA
Rfam family: Bacterial small subunit ribosomal RNA
Source: RNAcentral